AGGACGAACGCUGGCGGCGUGCUUAACACAUGCAAGUCGAGCGGAAAGGCCUUUCGGGGUACUCGAGCGGCGAACGGGUGAGUAACACGUGAGUAACCUGCCCCCUACUUUGGGAUAACCCUCGGAAACGGGGGCUAAUACCGGAUAUGACUUCCUGUGGCAUCACGGGUGGUGGAAAGUUUUUUCGGUGGGGGAUGGGCUCGCGGCCUAUCAGCUUGUUGGUGGGGUAAUGGCCUACCAAGGCGACGACGGGUAG
This 256-nucleotide ribosomal RNA is filed under the name uncultured bacterium. RNAcentral describes it as "partial small subunit ribosomal RNA". It matches the Rfam family "Bacterial small subunit ribosomal RNA", at positions 26 to 286 of the family's 1533-position model. The record is from RNAcentral.